CUCACAUCUUAAUGCUCCAUUUCACCGGGGCAUGUUCUCAGUCCAUCAGACUGCAGGCUAGAGUCCAAACUUGCUAUUUAUCAGGGUUUCUUGUCUUCCAAGCCAUUAAAAAUUUAUGCAAACCAGUGCAGUGGUUGGCAAAGGCUCCUGUUUCUCCCCCUGCUGCAACGGGAUGAGGAUGGCAGUUCUCCCUGUGAUAUUGCAAACAUCCCAGCUGCGAGGGAGGAGGUUGUUCUGAAACAAAGCCUUGACCAGGCGCGAAACAGCAAGGAUUGUGCCCAAGGAUUUUCCUGUAGAUAUUGUGAGCGAACAUGGAGCCAGUGGAGAGAAGAGCUGAAUCUGCAGAAGACAUUGCAGCAGCAGCGAUGGCUCCCAAACCAGUAAUGGAGAUGUAUGCUGGGCAGAGAUGUUGUAAAACAAGUGGGAGGAUCAUUGCUGACUCCCCUCUCUCAAAUGGACUUGGAAGACCAUAGCUUGUCUGAUUCCAGUCUUUAAAACAAAACAAGGAAAAGUCACAACAAAUCCUUUGUGAACAUUUCUGCUGGCUUUGAAAUUGUCUUUUCACAGGGGCCAGUCACAAAGGGCUAGGAACUGGGGCCCACUCAGUAUUUUAGGACUUAGAUUGAUUUUUUUUUUGUUCUUUUGUGAACUUUUGUGAUUCCCUUUAGCAUGCUGCAACUCCCACUAGAUCAAAAAUUUCUUUUUUCCUCAGCAGCACCUAUAGAAAUGGGUGUGCUUUGUGUGAUUCCAGAAUUGAGACUAUUAAAGAUCAACCUGUAUACACUGCUCAUGAGGAGAAGGGAAUUGGAUGAAAUCAUGACUUGAGCUGAUUUCCUUAAAUGUUCAGUGAUCUG
Molecule: long non-coding RNA, 854 nt
Organism: Zonotrichia leucophrys gambelii
Lineage: Eukaryota; Metazoa; Chordata; Aves; Passeriformes; Passerellidae
Exons: 3
Source: RefSeq, a predicted model, not a curated record